RNAcentral lists this long non-coding RNA (920 nucleotides) under Felis catus (domestic cat). Its description in RNAcentral is "lncRNA (ENSFCAG00000046295.2)". The record is from RNAcentral. Lineage: Eukaryota; Metazoa; Chordata; Mammalia; Carnivora; Felidae.
GAGCACGGUCACGUGCUCACUUAUGUCCAGUGCUCCCUGUGGCCACCAGAGUGGGGGGGGGGGCGCGGACACAAGAACCAAGUGGGGAAGGGAUGCUGGACGGAGGGGAAACUGAGGCCCAGAAGGGGCCAGGGCCGGGCUUCCGCCGCCGGCUUGGACCUGACAUCCCCCUCUGUCCAAGCAUUCGGUUCCGGCUCUCGAAAUAAACCCUCCGCCCGCCCGGUAGCCAGCCGGCCAAGGGCACCGCCGUGCUGCCAGCCCGGCCUGGUCACCCCGAAAAGCUGACGGAAGCCAGCUGCCCUCCCAGCGGUCGCUCGGCAGGCAGACACCCGGAGGCGUGACGCCUGCCCCCGUCCGGCACCCGAGGCCGCCAGGAGGGGCCUUGGAAAGCUCGGCUCCCCUCUUAACCCCCCGGGGCUUUGCAGCUCCUUUCCGGAAUGGCUUCCUGAUGAGGUCUGCAGCUGUGUGGGGUAAGCCUCUCUCUGGGCCUCGCCUCGAAUUUCCGCAUUGGAAGAGACCCAGGGACCACAGCACAGCACCGGGUGCACAGAGGAGGGCCAGGCAGGCCCGAGUCGUGCGGGAAUUAGUGGCUGGGCCAGGAUCUGAGCCCAGACUCCUCUGCUGGCCCAGAGUGACCCCGCUGGGCCUCCUCCGACUCCCUGCUGCUUUCCCUGCACAAAGCCCGGGCCGGGGAGGGCCAGACUCCAGCUCGCCCGUGGAACUGCUCCCCUCUGCUGCCCCCUGGUGGCCGUGAGGACACAUGGCGACCCAACCCUAAACCCCGGCACCCACAGGCUCCAGAUGCCUCAAGUGGCAAAGUGCCCACCCCAACCAGCAGCCUCUUGGGGCUUGAUGAGGAAACCGAGGCUCCCUAUUCUGUGGGGGCGGGGUAGUCACCCACCUGGAGGAGAGAAGGGCCC